Molecule: ribosomal RNA, 482 nt
Filed under: uncultured bacterium
Lineage: Bacteria
Description: partial 16S ribosomal RNA
Rfam family: Bacterial small subunit ribosomal RNA
Source: RNAcentral
GACGAACGCUGGCGGCGUGCUUAACACAUGCAAGUCGAACGAUGAAGAAGAGAAACGCGAACUUCGGUUCAAAUUUCACUUCGGAUUAGUGGCAGACGGGUGAGUAACGCGUGAGCAACCUACCUCUUACAAAGGGAUAGCCUCGGGAAACCGUGAUUAAUACCAUAUGACACAUUCAUAAGGCAUCUUAAGAAUGUUAAAGCUACGGCGGUAAGAGAUGGGCCCGCGUCCCAUUAGCUAGUUGGUGAGGUAACGGCCCACCAAGGCGACGAUGGGUAACCGGCCUGAGAGGGUGAACGGUCACAUUGGAACUGAGGCACGGUCCAAACUCCUACGGGAAGCAGCAGUGGGGAAUAUUGCACAAUGGAGGGAACUCUGAUGCAGCGACGCCGCGUGAGCGAUGAAGGAAUUCGUUUCGUAAAGCUCUGUUCUAUGGGAAGAAAAGGACUGUACCAUAGGAGAAAGCCCCGGCUAAAUACGUG